UACGUAGGGGGCAAGCGUUAUCCGGAUUUACUGGGUGUAAAGGGAGCGCAGACGGCUUGGCAAGUCUGAAGUGAAAGCCCGGGGCUUAACCCCGGGACUGCUUUGGAAACUGUGAAGCUAGAGUGUCGGAGAGGUAAGUGGAAUUCCCAGUGUAGCGGUGAAAUGCGUAGAUAUUGGGAGGAACACCGGUGGCGAAGGCGGCUUACUGGACGAUAACUGACGUUGAGGCUCGAAGGCGUGGGGAGCAAACAGG
Molecule: ribosomal RNA, 253 nt
Filed under: uncultured bacterium
Lineage: Bacteria
Also listed under: 1 other name
Description: partial 16S ribosomal RNA
Rfam family: Bacterial small subunit ribosomal RNA
Source: RNAcentral